This 164-nucleotide ribosomal RNA is filed under the name Milium effusum. RNAcentral describes it as "5.8S ribosomal RNA". It matches the Rfam family "5.8S ribosomal RNA". From Rfam's summary of the family: 5.8S ribosomal RNA (5.8S rRNA) is a component of the large subunit of the eukaryotic ribosome. It is transcribed by RNA polymerase I as part of the 45S precursor that also contains 18S and 28S rRNA. Lineage: Eukaryota; Viridiplantae; Streptophyta; Magnoliopsida; Poales; Poaceae. The record is from RNAcentral.
CACAUGACUCUCGGCAACGGAUAUCUUGGCUCUCGCAUCGAUGAAGAACGUAGCGAAAUGCGAUACCUGGUGUGAAUUGCAGAAUCCCGCGAACCAUCGAGUCUUUGAACGCAAGUUGCGCCCGAGGCCACUUGGUUGAGGGCACGCCUGCCUGGGCGUCACGC